ACACAUGCAAGUCGAACGGCAGCACGGAGCUUGCUCUGGUGGCGAGUGGCGAACGGGUGAGUAAUAUAUCGGAACGUACCCUGGAGUGGGGGAUAACGUAGCGAAAGUUACGCUAAUACCGCAUACGAUCUAAGGAUGAAAGUGGGGGAUCGCAAGACCUCAUGCUCGUGGAGCGGCCGAUAUCUGAUUAGCUAGUUGGUAGGGUAAAAGCCUACCAAGGCAUCGAUCAGUAGCUGGUCUGAGAGGACGACCAGCCACACUGGAACUGAGACACGGUCCAGACUCCUACGGGAGGCAGCAGUGGGGAAUUUUGGACAAUGGGCGAAAGCCUGAUCCAGCAAUGCCGCGUGAGUGAAGAAGGCCUUCGGGUUGUAAAGCUCUUUUGUCAGGGAAGAAACGGUGAGAGCUAAUAUCUCUUGCUAAUGACGGUACCUGAAGAAUAAGCACCGGCUAACUACGUGCCAGCAGCCGCGGUAAUACGUAGGGUGCAAGCGUUAAUCGGAAUUACUGGGCGUAAAGCGUGCGCAGGCGGUUUUGUAAGUCUGAUGUGAAAUCCCCGGGCUCAACCUGGGAAUUGCAUUGGAGACUGCAAGGCUAGAAUCUGGCAGAGGGGGGUAGAAUUCCACGUGUAGCAGUGAAAUGCGUAGAUAUGUGGAGGAACACCGAUGGCGAAGGCAGCCCCCUGGGUCAAGAUUGACGCUCAUGCACGAAAGCGUGGGGAGCAAACAGGAUUAGAUACCCUGGUAGUCCACGCCCUAAACGAUGUCUACUAGUUGUCGGGUCUUAAUUGACUUGGUAACGCAGCUAACGCGUGAAGUAGACCGCCUGGGGAGUACGGUCGCAAGAUUAAAACUCAAAGGAAUUGACGGGGACCCGCACAAGCGGUGGAUGAUGUGGAUUAAUUCGAUGCAACGCGAAAAACCUUACCUACCCUUGACAUGGCUGGAAUCCCCGAGAGAUUGGGGAGUGCUCGAAAGAGAACCAGUACACAGGUGCUGC
This 999-nucleotide ribosomal RNA is filed under the name Janthinobacterium sp. Its description in RNAcentral is "bacterial SSU rRNA". It matches the Rfam family "Bacterial small subunit ribosomal RNA", at positions 51 to 1044 of the family's 1533-position model. Lineage: Bacteria; Pseudomonadati; Pseudomonadota; Betaproteobacteria; Burkholderiales; Oxalobacteraceae. The record is from RNAcentral.